GAUCGGCCCGCGUCUGAUUAGCUAGUUGGUGAGGUAACGGCUCACCAAGGCGACGAUCAGUAGCUGGUCUGAGAGGAUGAUCAGCCACAUUGGGACUGAGACACGGCCCAAACUCCUACGGGAGGCAGCAGUGGGGAAUAUUGGACAAUGGGCGCAAGCCUGAUCCAGCCAUGCCGCGUGAGUGAUGAAGGCCCUAGGGUUGUAAAGCUCUUUUGUGCGGGAAGAUAAUGACGGUACCGCAAGAAUAAGCCCCGGCUAACUUCGUGCCAGCAGCCGCGGUAAUACGAAGGGGGCUAGCGUUGCUCGGAAUCACUGGGCGUAAAGGGUGCGUAGGCGGGUCUUUAAGUCAGGGGUGAAAUCCUGGAGCUCAACUCCAGAACUGCCUUUGAUACUGAAGAUCUUGGGUUCGGGAGAGGUGAGUGGAACUGCGAGUGUAGAGGUGAAAUUCGUAGAUAUUCGCAAGAACACCAGUGGCGAAAGCGGCUCACUGGCCCGAUACUGACGCUGAGGCACGAAAGCGUGGGGAGCAAACAGGAUUAGAUACCCUGGUAGUCCACGCCCUAAACGAUGUGUGCUGGGCGUCGGGGGGCUUGCCCCUUGGUGCCCGAAGCCAAGCGGUAAGCACACCGCCUGUGGAGUA
This 640-nucleotide ribosomal RNA is filed under the name uncultured Alphaproteobacteria bacterium. RNAcentral's name for it is "bacterial SSU rRNA". It matches the Rfam family "Bacterial small subunit ribosomal RNA", at positions 224 to 882 of the family's 1533-position model. The record is from RNAcentral. Lineage: Bacteria; Pseudomonadati; Pseudomonadota; Alphaproteobacteria.